AGAUUGCAAGAACACAGUGAGGGAGCUGGAAGUCUUGUGGAGUCUUUGAAAACAGCUGUUGUGAAAACACAUUCUGUUGUUUACUCUGUAUAGUAAAGAUUUCUCCAGAGUUCCUGAAUCAGCUAAGCCAUUAGCAACCUCCGAACUCCUAGCCUUCAAAAUUCCAGCCUCGGACCUCACGACUUCUGAACUCCUGGCUUCAGAACUCUCAGCCUUGGAUCUCACGGCCUCCGACUUGCAGGCUCGGAACUCUCAGCCUCAGCACAGACCCGACGAGGCGUCCUCUUGGACCGUUAUGAUGGUCUGCCGGCCCAGCAUGGCUUCGGCAUGAACUUCUGUCUCAAGGUGAUUCCAGAGCAUUCUCCUGGCCUCAUGAACCCUGAGCUGAAGCCAGGCAUGGUCUGGAGUUGAAGCCCAGUGCAAACUGGAGGCUAAGUGCCAGCAUGAACUGGGUAGGAAGACCUGUUCUGAACUUUUUUCUCCAUUUUAUAAUUUAUUCCAAUAAUCUGCAGUGCUGGACUUUGUAUUUUGACCUCAAUUCUUCCAAAGAACUGUAACUGAAAAAGCUGUACUUGGGGACCUUUGUACCUAAGAUGGCACUGUAAGUGGUGACUUGUACACUUAAGGGUCACUGGACCCAAAAUGUUAA
Rhincodon typus (whale shark) is the source of this 649-nucleotide long non-coding RNA. RefSeq lists it as uncharacterized. The record is from RefSeq and is a predicted model, not a curated record. The transcript is spliced from 3 exons. NCBI's taxonomy places the organism in Eukaryota, Metazoa, Chordata, Chondrichthyes, Orectolobiformes, Rhincodontidae.